Molecule: ribosomal RNA, 373 nt
Filed under: uncultured bacterium
Lineage: Bacteria
Description: bacterial SSU rRNA
Rfam family: Bacterial small subunit ribosomal RNA
Source: RNAcentral
AUACGUAGGAUCCGAGCGUUGUCCGGAAUUACUGGGUGUAAAGGGCGUGUAGGUGGAUUUCUAAGUCGGUGGUGAAAUCCUGCAGCUCAACUGCAGAAUUGCCUUCGAUACUGGGAAUCUUGAGUGCGGCAGAGGGAGAUGGAAUUCAUGGUGUAGCGGUGAAAUGUGUAGAUAUCAUGAAGAACACCGGUAGCGAAGGCGGUCUCCUGGUCCGCAACUGACACUGAUGCGCGAAAGCGUGGGGAGCAAACAGGAUUAGAUACCCUGGUAGUCCACGCCUUAAACGAUGGGUACUCGGUGCUGGGCCGCAAGGUUCAGUGCCAAAGCUAACGCAUUAAGUACCCCACCUGGGGAGUACGAUCGCAAGGUUGAA